This 491-nucleotide ribosomal RNA is filed under the name uncultured bacterium. RNAcentral's name for it is "partial 16S ribosomal RNA". It matches the Rfam family "Bacterial small subunit ribosomal RNA", at positions 29 to 507 of the family's 1533-position model. The record is from RNAcentral.
AGUGAACGCUGGCGGUAGGCCUAACACAUGCAAGUCGAACGGCAGCACAGUAAGAGCUUGCUCUUACGGGUGGCGAGUGGCGGACGGGUGAGGAAUACAUCGGAAUCUACCUUUUCGUGGGGGAUAACGUAGGGAAACUUACGCUAAUACCGCAUACGACCUACGGGUGAAAGCAGGGGAUCUUCGGACCUUGCGCGAUUGAAUGAGCCGAUGUCGGAUUAGCUAGUUGGCGGGGUAAGGCCCACCAAGGCGACGAUCCGUAGCUGGUCUGAGAGGAUGAUCAGCCACACUGGAACUGAGACACGGUCCAGACUCCUACGGGAGGCAGCAGUGGGGAAUAUUGGACAAUGGGCGCAAGCCUGAUCCAGCCAUACCGCGUGGGUGAAGAAGGCCUUCGGGUUGUAAAGCCCUUUUGUUGGGAAAGAAAAGCAGCAGGUUAAUACCCCGCUGUUCUGACGGUACCCAAAGAAUAAGCACCGGCUAACUUCGUG